UGCCGCUCUCUGUCACCAAGAAAAGAAAGAAACAGAUCAAAUCAGAUGCAAAUCAGGCUGCAAGUGGGACUGUCCGCGGGAAGCCCGCAUCCGCCCAACAUUCGCCGCAUAGUAUAAGUGGAAGACAUGCAUCUGCCCACAUAUUUUUACACGGGAUAAGUGGGUUUAGCGGACAACCCACAUCCAACCUGACUGAAAGUAAUGUUCAUGCACUCAAAUAACAGCAGAGUACAUGCACGCCAGGCAGCAUAGUACAAAUACUCAAUUGGUCAUGUUCAUGCAUACUGAAUAGUGAUCGUACGAGCUUAGGCAAGUUACCUAAAGCUGGACAUCGUGCACCGACAUACAGCAAGUACAUAUCAUUACAACAUGCUGUUGAGCAGUAUAUGAAUUACAGUAAAACUAGAGGCUACAACCUGCCAUCCUUUAUUUGCAGUAUAAGACUAAAGACAUGAUCAAGUGCAAUAGACUAGAGGCUACAGAAAGAUGGAUUUUUUUUCCAGCUCUUCAAGAUCUUCCAUCACCAUCAACCUGCCAUCCUUUCUUCGAGUAGCAAACUAGCAACCUAUAUUUAUAUCAGAGAAAACAUUAACAAAUGACUGGAUAUGUAGUCUACAUAGAGCCAUUACACAAAAUAAAAACUGCUACAUGUUGCAUCGAUUGAAUUACAGCUAAACUGAACUGAUGGGAGUUAAGGGAGAUGUUUUCUGUUAACAGAACUGAACUGGACUACUGUAUGAGUAAUACAUGCAGCUCUGUUAGGCAUGUAGUGCUGCUGUACUAUCUUAGGUACACAGGCCGGAUGAUUCUUUAUCAAAUGCUGCUCUUUUUUCCUUACAAAGGCAAGUAAAACAUUUGUAUCAGCAAGACAAAAGUAUGUCAAACAGUACUACUUCACUCGCUGUUUGCCGAAGAACCUAAACAGUUCAGGGGAAUUCAGAUAAGUCGCCAUGAAGUUCUAGCCCAAAAUACCUACCUCCAGUUAACAAGAUUUGUGUUAUUUUACACAUAGGUACCACUCAACUUUAUCAUUGCUCAUGUGCAGAACUGACAGUGAUGUGCUUUUUUAUCAGUUAGGUGCAAAUGCAGUCAGAGAUACACCAUUGUCAAACUUAUGCUGUACUAACAGAGAUUCUCAAGGGACAAACUAGUAGCACUACCAAUGAUUCUCAAGAUGUAGUCUACAAUUAUAUGUAGGCAAAUCCAGAUCUCAAGGGGUGAAGGGGAUAACCAGAUAACUACCUUGGCAGGUUCUUCUUGGACAGCAGCUAUAUUCUUCUUCCUCUUCUUGCAGCCAGACCUUGGGAGUUCAUGUCCAGGUCGCUUCUUGCGAGCCUCGCCGGUGAGGGCCAUGGUGGAGGUGGACGGCGGCGUUGGUGCGGCGACGAUUGAGGUGGAAGGCGGCGCUGCGGCGUCCAUGGAGAUGAUGGGUGGCGUCGUUGUGGCAUCCAUGGGGUAGAUUGGCGGCUGCGCUAGGCGCCGCAUAGCGCAGCGGCCAAGGACGGCGGCGGCCUACCCUAGCAUGCGGCGGCGCUAUGCAGGAGGAACGAGGAAAGAAG
RNAcentral lists this long non-coding RNA (1559 nucleotides) under Triticum aestivum (bread wheat). RNAcentral describes it as "long non-coding RNA (TAES_LNC011071)". The record is from RNAcentral. Lineage: Eukaryota; Viridiplantae; Streptophyta; Magnoliopsida; Poales; Poaceae.